UAAGGAAUAUUGGUCAAUGGACGCAAGUCUGAACCAGCCAUGCCGCGUGAAGGAUUAAGGCCCUCUGGGUUGUAAACUUCUUUUAUAUGGGACGAAAUGUGCCGAUUCUUCGGCACUUGACGGUACCAUAGGAAUAAGCACCGGCUAACUCCGUGCCAGCAGCCGCGGUAAUACGGAGGGUGCAAGCGUUAUCCGGAAUCACUGGGCGUAAAGGGCGCGUAGGCGGUCUGUUAAGUCCGAUGUUAAAUCCCGGGGCUCAACCCCGGAUAAGCGUUGGAUACUGGCAGGCUAGACGGUUGGAGAGGCGAGUGGAAUUACCAGUGUAGCGGUGGAAUGCGUAGAUACUGGUAGGAACACCCAUUGCGAAGGCAGCUCGCUGGACAACACGUGACGCUGAGGCGCGAAAGUGUGGGGAGCAAACC
This 422-nucleotide ribosomal RNA is filed under the name uncultured bacterium. RNAcentral describes it as "bacterial SSU rRNA". It matches the Rfam family "Bacterial small subunit ribosomal RNA", at positions 355 to 774 of the family's 1533-position model. The record is from RNAcentral.